GCUAGUAAUCGCGGAUCAGAAUGCCGCGGUGAAUACGUUCCCGGGUCUUGUACACACCGCCCGUCACACCAUGGGAGUCGAUAACGCCCGAAGUCAGUGACCCAACCGAAAGGAGGGAGCUGCCGAAGGCGGGAUGGAUAACUGGGGUGAAGUCGUAACAAGGUAUC
Molecule: ribosomal RNA, 167 nt
Filed under: uncultured bacterium
Lineage: Bacteria
Description: partial 16S ribosomal RNA
Rfam family: Bacterial small subunit ribosomal RNA
Source: RNAcentral